This 494-nucleotide ribosomal RNA is filed under the name uncultured bacterium. RNAcentral's name for it is "partial 16S ribosomal RNA". It matches the Rfam family "Bacterial small subunit ribosomal RNA", at positions 28 to 507 of the family's 1533-position model. The record is from RNAcentral.
GACGAACGCUGGCGGCGCGCUUAACACAUGCAAGUCGAACGGAAAGGCCUGCUUUCCCUUGUGGAUUGCGGGUACUCGAGUGGCGAUCGGGUGAGUAACACGUGAGUGAUCUGCCCCCAACUUGGGUAUAAGCCUGGGAAACUGGGUCUAAUUCCCGAUAGGACUGCAGGGUGGUGCCUGUGGUGGAAAACGAUUUUCUAGUGGUUGGGGAUGAGCUCGCGGCCUAUCAGCUUGUUGGUGGGGUAAUGGCCUACCAAGGCGGCGACGGGUAGCCGGCCUGGGAGGGUGGACGGCCACAUUGGGACUGAGAUACGGCCCAGACUCCUACGGGAGGCAGCAGUGGGGAAUAUUGCACAAUGGGCGGAAGCCUGAUGCAGCGACGCCGCGUGGGGGAUGACGGCCUUCGGGUUGUAAACUCCUUUCGACCGCGAGGAAGCCACCUGGUUGGAAGGGUGGUGACGGUAGUGGUAGAAGAAGCACCGGCUAACUACGUG